CAACCCUCAAGCCCCUGCUGUGGACUUGGUGUUGGGGACCGGCGAUGGACAACCGUCCUCCGCCGCCCCCUAAAUGACUUGGCGGCCUCGUCGCGGCCCUCCUCUGCGUAGUAGCAUACACCUCGCAACAGGAGCCCGGCGAAUGGCCACUGCCGUAAAACCCCCAACUUUUUCAG
This 176-nucleotide unclassified non-coding RNA is filed under the name uncultured Paecilomyces. Its description in RNAcentral is "sequence contains ITS2". Lineage: Eukaryota; Fungi; Ascomycota; Eurotiomycetes; Eurotiales; Thermoascaceae. The record is from RNAcentral.